UACGGAGGGUGCAAGCGUUAGUCGGAAUUACUGGGCGUAAAGGGUGCGUAGGCUGGGAAGUAAGUCAGAUGUGAAAAACCAAAGCUCAACUUUGGCAGUGCAUCUGAAACUGCAUCUCUAGAGGAGUAGCGGAGAAAACGGAAUUCCACGUGUAGCGGUGAAAUGCGUAGAUAUGUGGAAGAACACCUGUGGCGAAAGCGGUUUUCUAGCUUUCUCCUGACGCUGAGGCACGAAAGCAAGGGGAGCAAACAGG
RNAcentral lists this ribosomal RNA (253 nucleotides) under uncultured bacterium. RNAcentral's name for it is "partial 16S ribosomal RNA". It matches the Rfam family "Bacterial small subunit ribosomal RNA", at positions 524 to 776 of the family's 1533-position model. The record is from RNAcentral.